Molecule: long non-coding RNA, 105 nt
Organism: Cucurbita maxima (winter squash)
Lineage: Eukaryota; Viridiplantae; Streptophyta; Magnoliopsida; Cucurbitales; Cucurbitaceae
Exons: 4
Source: RefSeq, a predicted model, not a curated record
GCAAGUCGGAUGUGUCGCAGACGACUGAACAUGCACGCGCAGGCGGCGUGUGUGGUUGAAUAAGCUUGGAUUCCGCACAAUAUAUAUAUUUGGGUUCUCCAUUGU